This is a long non-coding RNA of Ostrinia nubilalis (European corn borer), 964 nucleotides long. RefSeq lists it as uncharacterized. NCBI's taxonomy places the organism in Eukaryota, Metazoa, Arthropoda, Insecta, Lepidoptera, Crambidae. The transcript has 3 exons. The record is from RefSeq and is a predicted model, not a curated record.
UAAAUUAUUAAAGGAUUACCUUAUACCCGAAAAUUGUCCCCUUCUAAAGUCACCGACUUUAAAUCCCGAAAUUAUGGCUGCCAUUCCCGAAACCGGGAGAUUUCGAGACAAAAAAAUUUGCUCUUCGCAAAAUCAAUUAGGAGUAGGCAUUUCUGCCAUUAAUAGAGGCCUUAACACGUUGCUUACAUCUGAUAAAAAGAUCGAAGCAAUAAAAUGUAUCAGUGACGGUUGUCGCUUACUGUCAGAUCUGCAUCACCAACAAACCGAAACAAGGAAAAAAUUCAUCACCCCCUGCUUAGACAAAGGUUUCUUGCAAUUGAUUCAAGUCGCGGAACGCGACGACACCCUAUAUGGUAAUAAUUUAUCCGAAAAAAUCAAGGCUUCAAAAGCUAUCACGACUCAGAGUCAACAAAUAAAAAAGAAUACGGUUACUCCUAAACCAUCCGUAGCCCAAACUGUAACUCGGGCCAACAGCCAGGGAAACUGGCAGGGCCCUCCUCGUUUUUCGCAGAACAGGGGGGGGCGCGGAGGUUACAAGAGAACCAACCCACGGGGUCAACAAACCUCUACGCAGACAUCUCAAGCGCAAUCACAACCAAAACCUUAUCAACAAACCAAGACUCGGGGGACGUCUCGGCAACCUCAUCACCAGACGUAGGACCAUCUCAGGAAUACACCUCCAUACCGACUGCAUCAUCAUCUUACAUUGGCUGCAGCGAAACUCUCCGGAAGGCGUUUUUAAACCGCAAUAUCCCACCAGAAGCCAUAAAUCUGAUGUUAGCUUCACUCUCAAAUAACACUAAAAAACAGUACAAUUGCGCACAGUACACGGCACGCAUCAACCUCUACGGCCAGUGCCGCGGGUGUAUGCAUCGAAACUAUUCGUAAAGCAGCUGGGUGGACCAAUAAUCAUACUUUUGCAAAAUUCUAUCGAUUAAAUAUAAUUACAAAAAAUGUAUUUGCG